This 165-nucleotide ribosomal RNA is filed under the name Alpinia galanga (greater galangal). Its description in RNAcentral is "5.8S ribosomal RNA". It matches the Rfam family "5.8S ribosomal RNA". From Rfam's summary of the family: 5.8S ribosomal RNA (5.8S rRNA) is a component of the large subunit of the eukaryotic ribosome. It is transcribed by RNA polymerase I as part of the 45S precursor that also contains 18S and 28S rRNA. Functionally, it is thought that 5.8S rRNA may be involved in ribosome translocation. The record is from RNAcentral. Lineage: Eukaryota; Viridiplantae; Streptophyta; Magnoliopsida; Zingiberales; Zingiberaceae. RNAcentral also lists the same sequence under 2 other names.
CAAAUGACUCUCGGCAAUGGAUAUCUCGGCUCUUGCAUCGAUGAAGAACGUAGUGAAAUGCGAUACUUGGUGUGAAUUGCAGAAUCUCGUGAAUCAUUGAGUCUUUGAACGCAAGUUGUGCCCGAGGCCUUGUGGCCGAGGGCACGCCUGCUUGGGCGUCAUGGC